AUUGAACGCUGGCGGCAGGCCUAACACAUGCAAGUCGAGCGGGGACUUCGGUCCUAGCGGCGAACGGGUGAGUAAUGCUUGGGAAUCUGCCCAGUAGUGGGGGAUAACGUCCCGAAGGGACGCUAAUACCGCAUACGUCCUACGGGAGAAAGAGGGGGAUCUUCGGACCUCUCGCUAUUGGAUAAGCCCAAGUCGGAUUAGCUAGUUGGUAGGGUAAUGGCCUACCAAGGCGACGAUCCGUAGCUGGUCUGAGAGGAUGAUCAGCCACACUGGAACUGAGACACGGUCCAGACUCCUACGGGAGGCAGCAGUGGGGAAUAUUGGACAAUGGGCGAAAGCCUGAUCCAGCCAUGCCGCGUGUGUGAAGAAGGCCUUCGGGUUGUAAAGCACUUUAAGCGGGGAGGAAGGUUCGCGGCCUAAUACGUCGCGGAAUUGACGUUACCCGCAGAAUAAGCACCGGCUAACUCUGUG
This 471-nucleotide ribosomal RNA is filed under the name uncultured bacterium. RNAcentral describes it as "partial 16S ribosomal RNA". It matches the Rfam family "Bacterial small subunit ribosomal RNA", at positions 30 to 507 of the family's 1533-position model. The record is from RNAcentral.